This is a long non-coding RNA of Heterocephalus glaber (naked mole-rat), 2408 nucleotides long. NCBI's taxonomy places the organism in Eukaryota, Metazoa, Chordata, Mammalia, Rodentia, Bathyergidae. The record is from Ensembl.
CCCGCCACAGGCACAUGUGAACAUAAAUGCGUGCUGUGCGGCAGGGACCAGUCCCCCAGCUGCACAAAGGCAGCGUCUACACGACGGGUGACCACGCACGGGGCAACAUCGCAGCGAGGGACUCGGACUGCCUGGGCGCCUCACCUGAAAGAUGAUGCAGAAAGCGCCCGCUGCGGGUCUCCUGAGACAAACAUGUGAAGCCCCUCCUUGGCCUGCUCUGCCGCAAGUCAUUAAUCAACUUCUUACACCUCAUCUGAAGGAGGGACAGCUCCGUUUCCUCUCCCUGCCAGCCAGCUGGACGAGCACUAGGGAGGACCGGCUCAGAGCCCUGGGUGGCACAUCCUCAGCCGCGACGGAGCGCAGUGUGUUUGGGUGUCGCCCUUGGGGCUACUCGUGAGGUGACCACUUGUGUACGGUGCCUGAUGCUUCUGUUGCUGGAGCAAUGGAGAAAGAUACCACUUGGCCACAGGCCUUCAAGAUUUUAUCAGUUUUCUCCGAGGACUCACAUGUCAGAGGCACUGUGGGGACCACGGGACAUUCCCUGGUAGGUGGCUUUUAAGUAAAGAAAGAGACAAAAAAACCCCACAAAGAGCAGCUUGAGACAUUGUACACAGGCUCAGUUGGUCACACUGUGUUCGAGUCGUUACCCUUAUUUCUGCACAGUGACUUCUUUCAUCUCCAGACACCAGGAUCUCCAAGGUGCCUUGCAGCCUCCCGGCGACAGGCAGCAUCACACCCCACACUCUUUGUAUAAUGCUCCUACUUCCUAAGCGUCUCUGCAGGUUGCAUAACUCCACACCUGUUGCCUUGUUUAUAAAGAAUAAUAACAUGACGUCACAGGAGAAAGGACAGGGCUGUGAAGGGCCAGGAGCAAUGCCAUGCACAAACGGGCUCUCACUAGCUUCCCCUCUCCCAGGUCCCCUUCUUCCGGACUCAGCUGCAUAAACACAUGUCAGAGCUGUGGGUAGGCUUUCCCCGAACCCCACGACCACCACGACCACCGAGGCAGGGCCCUAGCCUGAACUUAGUGCUCCAGGACAAGAGACUGAGACUUGUCUUUUUAUUUUCAUUUUCCCUAUUUUUGGGGGGUCUGUGUGAUUUCUUGGCAACAGCCCCACUGGUGGUGGGAAAAUAUGUGCUUGCUAUUUGGGGAGCAGCAGCUUGCUCCUGGAGCCCCUCCCCUCUGAUACUCCUGCAACGCAGAGCUCCGUGCUGCACGCCCUCCCCUCAGAGUGGCGUCCAGAGUCUGUCUUGCUGUCAGUGAAACUGGCCUCAGAAGCAUCUUUCAGCUGCUUCAAAUUUGGCUUGGGAUUGACAGUCUCCCCUUCUCUUCUGGUUAGUCUCGUGGUGGCCUGCUUCCUCCUCCCCAGGAAAGCAGAAGAGCUUGGCCCACUCCUGCACUUCUGCUCCUCCGGGUGGUUCUGCCGUCUGCCCAGUGGCUCAGGUAUGAGCUCUCAUGCUAUCCUCCCUGCGGAAUCCUCCUCCUUGUCACAUUGUGUCACCCCUUGGCAUCUUUUGGCUUGAUUUCCUUCACGCUCUCCAUCCGGUGCUGUGCUGUGCUCCCUUCUAUGGCUCCUCAUGCGUUCUCCAUUCUAAGCAGCAAACAUACUGAAUUAUAUUCAUUUGUUCUCCUAUUUUUCCCACGGGUCUUUGAAAGUUCUGGAGGACAGGGCCUACGCAUUAUGUGUUUCUUUAUCCUCGGUGCCUAGUACACUGUUUCAAGUAAAUGUUUCCUACAGAAAUAAAAGAAUAAGUGCAAAAUAUUGCGCCUGAAAUUGGAAAGACUUCUGUGCCAGCGAGCAGAUCAGGGUUUGAGGAGGAGCUUUCUAAAGCUGCACAUUGCACUUGCAGUCCUAGCUCGUCCACCUCGGGCCCCAGUGAGAUGGUGCCCACUGAUUGUUAUCAACCCUCAGUGACUGGUUGGCCCACUCUGUGGCACAGCAGAGAGUGUUCCAAGGAAGCAGGCUGCCCUGGUGGCUGCUCCCUGGCAACUUGACACGUUCCAAGCUGGGCUUCUGUGUUUCCACACCCUCUGUUCCGCACUCCAGAGAGAUCUGUGAGCGUCACACAGCGCCUCUCCCGGCUCCUCUACGCUGCCAUCCAGUUGGUCACUAAGUUUGCCACCACAUUUUCACAACAUCUCGUGAGUUGGUCUGCUCCUCCACAGUGCUGCUCAGUUCCUGCCCUCAUCAGUACUGAGCCGAACUUCUGCACUAGGCGGACCAACUUCCCCAGCAGAGCCAAGCAGCACUGCAGAGAGCAGAGUUCUCUGCUGACACGUGCUUCACGGAGCUCUGUGGGUGUCCUUCUCUGCCUGCUAGACUGUGAGCCAGUGGGUGCAGGAAGUAUGUGCACUCCAUAAAUGUAUGAUUCAGUUUCCGUUAAUGCAAUUUGAAACUUAUGGACAG